RNAcentral lists this ribosomal RNA (567 nucleotides) under Triticum aestivum (bread wheat). Its description in RNAcentral is "partial small subunit ribosomal RNA". The record is from RNAcentral. Lineage: Eukaryota; Viridiplantae; Streptophyta; Magnoliopsida; Poales; Poaceae.
GCCACUUCCUUCCCUGGAGAAAACGGAGAUGAGAGAGAGAGAGAGAGAGAGAGAAGGGGGGAAAAGCCCAGAGAAGAGGAGUAGACGGCUGGCCUGCGUGAGGCGGCUCUCCCGACGGCAGACGAGGCAGGAGGCCGCGGAUCCGGCUGCUCCAGCGUGGAUCCGGUGGCGCGGCGGACGGAUCGAGGCGGAGGAGCACGAGGCCGACGAAGAGGUGGCCGAAGAUGGCGGGCGGGGUGCUGCGGGGGUUGUCAAUGGCGAAAAUUGAGAGAGAAGGAGAGGGAAAAGCCGAGUGAGAGGAGGAACAGGGGCGGCUACUGGCUGGCCUGCUUCAAGCGGCUCGGGGCACCAUCUCCGGGUGCGGUUGGAGGAGGCACCUCAUGCGAGCGAGGGAAGGGACGGCCUGGGCGGUCACAAGGGACGAGGACAUGCUCUCCUGCUCUCAUGGCCAAGGAAAAAGGAAAGAACUGAAAGGUAGGAGAAGGAGAGAAGAUAAGGUUGGAGGAGGGAUAGACAUCGGUGGGAGUUUGGGGUCAGAUGAAACGCGUCAUCUGCGCGAGAUGGUCG